RNAcentral lists this ribosomal RNA (803 nucleotides) under uncultured Geobacter sp. RNAcentral describes it as "bacterial SSU rRNA". It matches the Rfam family "Bacterial small subunit ribosomal RNA", at positions 9 to 789 of the family's 1533-position model. Lineage: Bacteria; Pseudomonadati; Thermodesulfobacteriota; Desulfuromonadia; Geobacterales; Geobacteraceae. The record is from RNAcentral.
GAGUUUGAUCCUGGCUCAGAACGAACGCUGGCGGCGUGCCUAACACAUGCAAGUCGAACGUGAUUGAGGAGCUUGCUCCUCAUGAAAGUGGCGCACGGGUGAGUAACGCGUAGAUAAUCUACCUGAUGAUCCGGGAUAACACUUCGAAAGGGGUGCUAAUACCUGAUAAGCCCACGGGGUCUUCGGACUCUGCGGGAAAAGGGGGGGACCUUAGGGCCUUCCGUCAUCAGAUGAGUCUGCGUACCAUUAGCUAGUUGGUAGGGUAAAGGCCUACCAAGGCGACGAUGGUUAGCUGGUCUGAGAGGAUGAUCAGCCACACUGGAACUGAGACACGGUCCAGACUCCUACGGGAGGCAGCAGUGGGGAAUUUUGCGCAAUGGGGGAAACCCUGACGCAGCAACGCCGCGUGAGUGAUGAAGGCCCUUGGGUCGUAAAGCUCUGACAGAGGGAGAGAAGUGUAGAGUGGCUAAUAUCCACAUUACUUGACGGUACCCUCAAAGGAAGCACCGGCUAACUCCGUGCCAGCAGCCGCGGUAAUACGGGGGGUGCAAGCGUUGUUCGGAUUUAUUGGGCGUAAAGCGCGUGUAGGCGGUUUUAUAAGUCUGAUGUGAAAGCCCUGGGCUCAACCCGGGAAGUGCAUUGGAUACUGUAAGACUUGAAUACGGGAGAGGACAGUGGAAUUCCUAGUGUAGGAGUGAAAUCCGUAGAUAUUAGGAGGAACACCGGUGGCGAAGGCGGCUGCCUGGACCGAUAUUGACGCUGAGACGCGAAAGCGUGGGUAGCAAACAGGAUUAGAUACCCUG